AACUGCCGUGCCUGUUUGCCAACGCCCAAUCUCAUCAGAUCCUCAAAGCUAAGCAAGGCCGGGCCUGGUUAGUAUUUGGAUGGGAGACCACUGAGAACACCAGGUGCCACAGUGG
RNAcentral lists this ribosomal RNA (115 nucleotides) under Periophthalmus magnuspinnatus. Lineage: Eukaryota; Metazoa; Chordata; Actinopteri; Gobiiformes; Gobiidae. The record is from RNAcentral.